Molecule: ribosomal RNA, 532 nt
Filed under: uncultured bacterium
Lineage: Bacteria
Description: bacterial SSU rRNA
Rfam family: Bacterial small subunit ribosomal RNA
Source: RNAcentral
GGAGUUUGAUCCUGGCUCAGAUUGAACGCUGGCGGCAGGCCUAACACAUGCAAGUCGGGCGGUAACAGGGAGAAGCUUGCUUCUCUGCUGACGAGCGGCGGGCGGGUGAGUAAUGUAUGGGGAUCUGCCUGAUAGUGGGGGAUAACGUUCGGAAACGGACGCUAAUACCGCAUACGUCCUACGGGAGAAAGCAGGGGACCUUCGGGCCUUGCGCUAUCAGAUGAGCCUAGGUCGGAUUAGCUAGUUGGUGAGGUAAUGGCUCACCAAGGCUACGAUCCGUAACUGGUCUGAGAGGAUGAUCAGUCACACUGGAACUGAGACACGGUCCAGACUCCUACGGGAGGCAGCAGUGGGGAAUAUUGCACAAUGGGGGAAACCCUGAUGCAGCCAUGCCGCGUGUGUGAAGAAGGCCUUCGGGUUGUAAAGCACUUUCAGCGAGGAGGAAAGGUUGGCAGCUAAUAUCUGUCAGCUGUGACGUUACUCGCAGAAGAAGCACCGGCUAACUCCGUGCCAGCAGCCGCGGUAAUACGGA